UGUUAGUUUAUAUAAAAUUACAUCUCCUCUCUUGGCGUUUGUUACGUACAAAGUAAAAUAACUUUGAGAUAGAGGAUGGAUUUUGUUAUUUCGUUCUAUUCUCACUUUUUGCCUUUGAGUCAGAUGGGGUGGCAGAAGCUCCCGGUGAGACGCGGCCUUACCUCGACCGCCCGCCCGCCCACCCGACCGCCGCGGAAACGUAAACCCUUCUGGAGUCCUCCCAGGCUUGUCUUCUGCUCGACCCCAAAGACUGAGAACAGGGGAGGAGGGUGGAGGGAGUCGGCGAUGACGGUGGACACUGGACAAAAAGGGCCAUUUUCAAAAUGGCGACAGAUGGGAGCGGAUCGGUGUCACCAUGGCAAUGGGCCUUUAAGGCCAAGAUACGUUGUGCUUCUCUAAGGACUCCAUUCUCAGCUAAAAUUGAAGUGCAGAUACGGAGAAAACUCACCGAGUAAUCGUAAGAGCAGGAACAGGACUCCCAACGCAUACGACUUGAGUUCUGGAUUAACUGCCCUGCAAGCAAACAGGAAAUACUGUAAGAAUGGUCUCGAC
This is a long non-coding RNA of Amblyraja radiata (thorny skate), 552 nucleotides long. RefSeq lists it as uncharacterized. The record is from RefSeq and is a predicted model, not a curated record. The transcript is spliced from 3 exons. Lineage: Eukaryota; Metazoa; Chordata; Chondrichthyes; Rajiformes; Rajidae.